AGCGAACGCUGGCGGCAGGCUUAACACAUGCAAGUCGAGCGGCCAUCCUUGUGGUGUCAGCGGCAGACGGGUGAGUAACGCGUGGGAACGUGCCCUUCGUUUCGGAAUAACUCAGGGAAACUUGAGCUAAUACCGGAUACGUGCGAGAGCAGAAAGGUUUAUCUGCCGAAGGAUCGGCCCGCGUCUGAUUAGCUAGUUGGUGAGGUUACGGCUCACCUACGCGACGAUCAGUAGCUGGUCUGAGAGGAUGGACAGGCACACUGGGACUGAGACACGGCGCAGUGUCGUACGGGAGGCAGCAGGGGGGAAUAUUAGACAACGGGGGCAACCCUAGUCCGACCACGCUGCGUGAGUGAUGCCGGUCUUAGGGUUGUAAAGCGCUUUUCACCGGGACGAUAAUGCCGGUACCUGAGGAAUAAGCCCCGGCUAACUUCGUG
Molecule: ribosomal RNA, 437 nt
Filed under: uncultured bacterium
Lineage: Bacteria
Description: partial 16S ribosomal RNA
Rfam family: Bacterial small subunit ribosomal RNA
Source: RNAcentral